AAUCAACGCUGGCGGCGUGCCUAACACAUGCAAGUCGAACGCGAAAGCCUCGCAAGGGGCAAGUAGAGUGGCAAACGGGUGAGUAACACGUGGGUGACCUGCCUUCGAGUGGGGAGUAACGUUCCGAAGGAACGCUAAUACCGCAUAACAUCCUGCCUUUUAAGUAGGUGGACAUCAAAGCUGGGGACCGGCAAGGCCUGGCGCUUGAAGAGGGGCCCGCGCCUGAUUAGCUAGUGGUUGGGGGUAAGUGGCUCACCAAGGCAUCGAUCAGUAUCCGGCCUGAGAGGGCGGACGGACACACUGGGACUGAGACACGGCCCAGACUCCUACGGGAGGCAGCAGUGGGAAUUGUUCGCAAUGGGCGCAAGCCUGACGACGCAACGCCGCGUGGAGGA
Molecule: ribosomal RNA, 395 nt
Filed under: uncultured bacterium
Lineage: Bacteria
Description: bacterial SSU rRNA
Rfam family: Bacterial small subunit ribosomal RNA
Source: RNAcentral